Schistocerca cancellata (South American locust) is the source of this 819-nucleotide long non-coding RNA. RefSeq lists it as uncharacterized. NCBI's taxonomy places the organism in Eukaryota, Metazoa, Arthropoda, Insecta, Orthoptera, Acrididae. The record is from RefSeq and is a predicted model, not a curated record. The transcript is spliced from 3 exons.
GUGUGCACUUGCGUGCGCCGUGCUGUGUACUAGCAAGAUAGUUGAAAAGAGAUCAGGCGGUAUUUGUUUAAAGCUUCCGUCAGUGGAAGUAAGUUUCCAGUGUCAAAAACUUCGAAACAGGGGUUGCCGUGCUGCGCCGGAUUACAACAGAAGCUCGGCAAAAGGGAUCAAAUUUCUUACAGAAAAUAAGAGAAGAAACUACAGGAGAGAAGGAUGGAAACAAACUACACUUUCGAAGUUGUUUGUGGUAUCUUGUAAUGAUAGCUACGACAUCACGUUCUUCUAUAGUGUAUAAUGCCAUAUGGUUUUAUUUAAGUUAUAUUUUGAUGGCUAGUCAUUCGAGAUGGAAGGGACGCUAUUAAAAAGGAAUGGAAUUCCUACGAAAUUCAGUGUUCCAACUCCACCGAAACCGUGCAUUUGAAAUCUAAAAACAAGGGCAGUUUUCGAAGCAGACAGUAAUGAAGCAGUACCAGUCUAUGGCCAUGUUUUUGUAUUUGGAGAAGCUUAUGACACCUGCUGGAGGACUGGUAUCCUCUACGCUCUACACAUGUGGCUCUCCAAUUCCUUCAGGAAUUUUUAAAGGACGGGGUUUUCAAGGGCACUGAAAAUAUGAGUGGGAGAAAAAGAACACCCCAGUCACAACCUUUGGCUGACUUGUCUCGUUUGCCCUCUUCUGUGCUGUAUUUAUCAUCUUUGUGACGAAUAUGUCUGGCUUUGUCAGAAUAGGAGAAAGUGACUGUAAAAGAUAAUCAAAUGUAAAAUUAUAAAUUUCAAAAAUUUUCUCUAUAAUUUUUUAAAACUUCUAAAAUUUUCUAUAUA